CUUCCCACCAAAGCCUUUUCCUCCACCACUUCCAGUCUACAAGAAGCCACUCCCACCUCCAGUUCCAAUCUACAAGCCAGAGCCAAAACCACCAGUCUUCAAGCCUCCUCCGGUCCCAAUCUACAAGAAGCCACUCCCACCUCCAGUUCCAAUCUACAAGCCAGAGCCAAAACCACCAGUCUUCAAGCCUCCUCCGGUCCCAAUCUACAAGCCAAAACCACCAGUCUUCAAGCCUCCUCCGAUCCCAAUCUACAAGAAGCCACUCCCACCUCCAGUUCCAAUCUACAAGCCAGAGCCAAAACCACCAGUCUUCAAGCCUCCUCCGGUCCCAAUCUACAAGAAGCCACUCCCACCUCCAGUUCCAAUCUACAAGCCAGAGCCAAAACCACCAGUUUUCAAGCCUCCUCCGGUCCCAAUCUACA
RNAcentral lists this long non-coding RNA (422 nucleotides) under Populus trichocarpa (black cottonwood). Its description in RNAcentral is "long non-coding RNA (PTRI_LNC001288)". The record is from RNAcentral. Lineage: Eukaryota; Viridiplantae; Streptophyta; Magnoliopsida; Malpighiales; Salicaceae.